CCCCGCAUCGCUUAACGGCAAAGCGCAUCGCUAGCUGCAUGAGGGAGGCAUGAGGCUGCCCUGUCAGUCAGGUGUCUGCAACCGUGCAGCGAGCGGUGAGAUCUCCGGUUCGACUCCGGGUGCGGGGA
Ascosphaera acerosa is the source of this 128-nucleotide non-coding RNA. Lineage: Eukaryota; Fungi; Ascomycota; Eurotiomycetes; Onygenales; Ascosphaeraceae. The record is from the annotation of a GenBank genome assembly.